This 310-nucleotide ribosomal RNA is filed under the name uncultured bacterium. RNAcentral describes it as "partial 16S ribosomal RNA". It matches the Rfam family "Bacterial small subunit ribosomal RNA", at positions 503 to 808 of the family's 1533-position model. The record is from RNAcentral.
AAGAGACAGCAGUCGCCGCGGGAAUACGUAGGUCCCGAGCGUUGUCCGGAUUUAUUGGGCGUAAAGCGAGCGCAGGCGGUUAGAUAAGUCUGAAGUUAAAGGCUGUGGCUUAACCAUAGUAUGCUUUGGAAACUGUUUAACUUGAGUGCAGAAGGGGAGAGUGGAAUUCCAUGUGUAGCGGUGAAAUGCGUAGAUAUAUGGAGGAACACCGGUGGCGAAAGCGGCUCUCUGGUCUGUAACUGACGCUGAGGCUCGAAAGCGUGGGGAGCAAACAGGAUUAGAUACCCGCGUAGUCCCUGUCUCUUAUACA